AUUGAACGCUGGCGGCAGGCUUAACACAUGCAAGUCGAGCGGAGAUGAGGUGCUUGCACCUUAUCUUAGCGGCGGACGGGUGAGUAAUGCUUAGGAAUCUGCCUAUUAGUGGGGGACAACAUUCCGAAAGGAAUGCUAAUACCGCAUACGUCCUACGGGAGAAAGCAGGGGAUCUUCGGACCUUGCGCUAAUAGAUGAGCCUAAGUCGGAUUAGCUAGUUGGUGGGGUAAAGGCCUACCAAGGCGACGAUCUGUAGCGGGUCUGAGAGGAUGAUCCGCCACACUGGGACUGAGACACGGCCCAGACUCCUACGGGAGGCAGCAGUGGGGAAUAUUGGACAAGGGGGGAAACCCUGAUCCAGCCAUGCCGCGUGUGUGAAGAGGGCCUUAUGGUUGUAAAGCACUUUAAGCGAGGAGGAGGCUACUGAGACUAAUACUCUUGGAUAGUGGACGUUACUCGCAGAAUAAGCACCGGCUAACUCUGUGCCAGCCGCCGCGGUAA
This 501-nucleotide ribosomal RNA is filed under the name uncultured bacterium. Its description in RNAcentral is "partial 16S ribosomal RNA". It matches the Rfam family "Bacterial small subunit ribosomal RNA", at positions 30 to 523 of the family's 1533-position model. The record is from RNAcentral.